ACCGGCAGCUAGCUCUCUGCAACUCUCACAUGGUCGCCUACUGAAGCUAAGCAGGGCUGCGCCCGGUCAGUAUCUAGAUGGGAGACCACAUGGGAAAGCUAGGUUGCUGCCGGAA
This is a non-coding RNA of Danio rerio (zebrafish), 115 nucleotides long. NCBI's taxonomy places the organism in Eukaryota, Metazoa, Chordata, Actinopteri, Cypriniformes, Danionidae. The record is from Rfam.